AUACGGAGGAUGCGAGCGUUAUCCGGAUUUAUUGGGUUUAAAGGGUGCGUAGGCGGACGAUUAAGUCAGCUGUGAAAUGCCCGCGCUUAACGCGGGAAGUGCAGUUGAUACUGGUUGUCUGGAGUGCCGUUGCCGUGGGGGGAAUGUGUAGUGUAGCGGUGAAAUGCAUAGAUAUUGCACAGAACGCCGAUUGUGAAGACACCUCACGAAGCGGUAACUGACGCUGAGGCACGAAAGCGUGGGGAUCGAACAGGAUUAGAUACCCUGGUAGUCCACGCAGUAAACGAUGAUGACUAACCGUCGGCGAUAGACCACCGGUGGCCAAGCGAAAGCGAUAAGUCAUCCACCUGGGGAGUACGACCGCAAGGUUGAAACUCAAAGGAAUUGACGGGG
Molecule: ribosomal RNA, 393 nt
Filed under: uncultured bacterium
Lineage: Bacteria
Description: partial 16S ribosomal RNA
Rfam family: Bacterial small subunit ribosomal RNA
Source: RNAcentral